AAUUAUUAUUAUACCUCUCAUGUCUCGGAAAUUUGCACCCUGUGAUUAAUAUAUUGGAAUCAUUUUUAUUGCUCACAGGGUGCAAACUUUAGAGACUUGAAAUGUGUAAUAAUAAAAUA
Molecule: microRNA precursor, 119 nt
Filed under: Arabidopsis lyrata
Lineage: Eukaryota; Viridiplantae; Streptophyta; Magnoliopsida; Brassicales; Brassicaceae
Description: miR4230 stem-loop (aly-MIR4230)
Source: miRBase by way of RNAcentral